RNAcentral lists this ribosomal RNA (163 nucleotides) under Pinguicula ehlersiae. RNAcentral describes it as "5.8S rRNA". It matches the Rfam family "5.8S ribosomal RNA". Rfam says of the family: 5.8S ribosomal RNA (5.8S rRNA) is a component of the large subunit of the eukaryotic ribosome. It is transcribed by RNA polymerase I as part of the 45S precursor that also contains 18S and 28S rRNA. RNAcentral also lists the same sequence under 3 other names. Lineage: Eukaryota; Viridiplantae; Streptophyta; Magnoliopsida; Lamiales; Lentibulariaceae. The record is from RNAcentral.
GACUCUCGGCAACGGAUAUCUCGGCUCUCGCAUCGAUGAAGAACGUAGCAAAAUGCGAUACUUGGUGUGAAUUGCAGAAUCCCGUGAACCAUCGAGUCUUUGAACGCAAGUUGCGCCCGAAGCCAUCCGGUCUAGGGCACGCCUGCCUGGGCGUCACGCAUCG